CCGCAGCUUGAAUCCGCGUCGCCCCUUGUCACCGGCCUCGCCCCGCGCCGGAGUCCCCAGCGCCUCCGCCCCGCUCCCCUGCCAGUGGAGCUCUUCGGGAGCCGCGGGGUGGGGACGGGAGUUCCCAAAAGUAUCCAUUCUUUUCAGCGGGUCUUUGGGGGUCAGGCCGAGAGGCUGAAGCUUCCAGAUGGGUGUGGGAGGGGCACGGUGUUUCUAUUUUCAUCUUCAUUGUACACAGGCAAGUGUCAGGUUGAAAGUCAAGGCCCUAGGAAUUGCCUGGAAGUCAUUUACGUGAGUGGGACUCUACCCUAAUGAGACCCAUUUUAUCCAAGUGCCAUUUUGCGUGUCACCCUGCCUUUGAUCACCUUCGACUUCCUCACAGCAAAGAAAUUCCAGUGGUUUACACGUGAUUUCUCAUCUUGCUUUAGUGAUAAAGGAAUGAUAUGCUUGAGUCUUUUCCAAGAAAUUCAAAGUAGGUAAAGACCAGACUUUUCGAAAUCCUUGUGGCGCAUUCAUUCUACUCCUCACUACGAACUCUUGCGGAUGUGAGGAGAGAGAGAGAGAGAUCUUCUUAUCUCUCAACAGAAAUUGAAUUUUCUUCUGUGUGUAUUCACCACCAGCACAGUCAAGACACAGAACACUUUCAUCAUCUCAAGGACCCUUUCCGUUGCCCUUUUAUAGCCACACGCACCUUCUAUCCCUAACUCUGAGCAACCACUAAUCUGUUCUCCAUUUCUAAAAGUUUGUCAUUUCAGAAUUGAUAAUCCUUUGUUCUAUAGUUGUUGUUUUAUAUGGAUUAAUUUUCUGUAUUCUCUGUGUGUGUGUGUAUGUACGCACUUGUACUCCUCAAAGUGCCCAGAAAAAUACUGGGCACACAGUAUUAAAUAUAUGCAGACUAAGAUAUUAGAACAUAUUACAUUUUAAAAGUGCAUUUAAAAGUACAUUUUAAAGUGUAAACUUUUAGGGUUUUUUCUUUCAGUCCCUCUCAAUGGCCUUUGUAAAUGGACACUUACUACUUAACAUUUACUUUCUGGACAAUAUGAAUACAGCCAAACUAAAACUUUUUUAAAAUGGGAAAAUAAUUGAUAUUAUUUUUAAAUUUUAAUACUGAGAUGGUAAAGUGUAUAUAAUCUUUAAGAUGUGGAGAUUCAUGUUUUAGUGAGUAAUGGCAGGUUAGCUCCUCCCAUAAGAGUGCAAUGUAGAGUACACAAUGGAAUUUAAUCCAAAUCGACAGUAUAAGUGGCUUAGAUAUAAGAUUCUACACUUGUUGUUUGGCUUAGGAAAGACUGGAAUACGAAAGGAGUAUGAAUUUAUGUUUUGAAAUUUUCUGUACUUGACUAAUAUCUGGAUAGCAUACUAAAAUGUUUAUUUUCCUGAGAAACUUCAUUUUAACAUAUUUCAUGCUAUCUAGAUUCAAUCCAGGCAUUCCUUUAGCAAUUUUAAAUAGAGACAUCAUGAAUACUUCAAUCCAUUUAUUCUUUUGAUUAAAAAAUAACCUGUAAGCUUUGUUAUGAAAACUUUUCUGACUUUUUUUUUUUUUGAGAUGGAGUCUUGCUCUGUCACCAGGUUGGAGUGCAGUGGUGUGAUCUCCACUCACUGCAACUUCCACCUCCUGGAUUCAAGGGAUUCUUCUGCCUCAGCCUCCCAAGUAGCUGAGACUACAGGUGCGCGCCACCACACCCAGCUGAUUUUUGUAUUUUUAAUAGACACAGGGUUUCACUAUAUUGGCAAGGAUGAUCUUGAUCUCUUGACCUCAUGAUCCACCCGACUCAGCCUCCCAAAGUGCUGGGACUACAGGCAUGAGCCACCACACCCAGCCACUUUUCUUUUUUAGUCAUCAAUUUACUUAACCAUUCAAAUGAUUUAUUCUUUAAAAAUAAUUACCAUGGAUUUUAAAGUGCUUUAGAAUGAGCCUCAGUAUGUAUAUAUCAAUUACAUAUUAUGAUCAAACUUUUUUUCAGUCAGAUGCCUUCAUUUUGGUAGCUUAAGAUACCAACGCAUUUUACUCCUGACUUUGACAUACUGUCUGCAUGUCUAGGAAGAUUUUGUUUGUUUUCUCACUUUUCCAUCCAAUAUGCUGUUUAAGUAAACAUAUAUCUUGGAUCCUAGAUAAUGUAAAAAAUAUUUUCCAUGUAGUCAUCAUGAUCAAACCAAUAAUUACCUUGUUAAGAAUUUUUUAAUUCAUUUUAUGUGAAAGAAAAAUUAAAGAUGAACAUUGUCGGUGGAGUUUUUAUUUCA
This is a non-coding RNA of Callithrix jacchus (white-tufted-ear marmoset), 2238 nucleotides long. NCBI's taxonomy places the organism in Eukaryota, Metazoa, Chordata, Mammalia, Primates, Cebidae. The record is from RefSeq and is a predicted model, not a curated record.